RNAcentral lists this long non-coding RNA (736 nucleotides) under Sorghum bicolor (sorghum). Its description in RNAcentral is "long non-coding RNA (SBIC_LNC015343)". The record is from RNAcentral. Lineage: Eukaryota; Viridiplantae; Streptophyta; Magnoliopsida; Poales; Poaceae.
UGGCAGUUAUGUAAUUUCUGUAAACGCCUUUCAGCACAGCCCGGCCGGUUUCCAGCUCCGGCACGGUGGCGCGCCAUGGGCGCCACCGGAAGCUCGUCGGCGCACAGUGACUUCUCGUUUCCGAGCACCGUUUCGAGAAAGAAAAACUCCGGGAUGAAGAGGAGCUCACCACGAUCUCUUCUAAGCGCUUGGUUGGGUCCGAGAGAUGACGAAGACGGCUCGCGGCGUGCGGAAAGCGUGCUGCUCCGGCGAGGUCCGAUUUCGCGAAGUCUAGGGCGGCUGGAGCUUGGUUUCGCGAUUAAAAUGCACACGCAGGACGCGGGGUUGACCUAGGGGCUUAUAUAGGCGCCGUUUAGCCGAUUUGGUAAGAAAUCGUGCUUACCCGGAUUCGGUUCGGCGCUGGGAAAUUUUCCCGGCCGAAACCGGCUCGUCCACGCUGAGGAGAAGAACGAAGGUGCUGCUGACAUGUGGGGCACGCGCGUCAGCCAGGGAGGGGGAAGGAGGCGCGCGCGCUGGGCUGCCUGGCCGCAGGUGGGCCGCGCUAGCGGGGCUGCAGGGGUUCGGCUGUUGUUUUUUUUUUUUAUUAUUUAUUUCUUUUCUGUUUCUUUUUCCAAAGCCUUUCCAAAAAGAAUUUUGAAAGCACAAAAUAAAAUAUGUCUCAGCAUGAAUGCAAAAGCAUGUUGCUAGCCUUAUGAUGAAUUUUAUUCCCCACAAACUAAUUUUAUUAGCUAAGUUU